AAAGGGAAUGAAAUAUGAACAAUGAAGUGAUGCUAAUUCAAUAUUAUUAUCAACCAAAAAACUCAUAAAGUUCUAGACCCUCUGCCCAGAGCAAGCUCUUGAGAAGAAUCGUAAUCUUCUUCUCCCAAUCCCACCGAAAAACCAAAAAUGUGUCCCCCCUACCUCAUAAUAUAUAACAAACCAUUUUCUCUCUCUUCUAACUAACACAAUUCCCUCACAAAGCCAUGUCACCCUUUUCUCUCCUCUUAUAAACUCUNCCCCACCUAUUUUUAUUAUCUCUUGGGUCCGUAUCAAUGCCUUCUUCAUGAACUAAAGCCUUGUCCUCAAGGCUAAACUCUGGAAACUGACUUCGAAUAUUUAUUUCAUCUUCCCAAGUGGCUUCAUCUACAUUCUGCUCUCUCCAUUGAACCAGUACCUGCUUCUUAGUUUCUCCUCUUUUCGUGUAGUUCCUAGUGGCUAAGAUGGCCAUGGGAACUAAUAUUUCAGCUUUGUCAUCAUCUAACCCUAUAGGGAGAGCAUCCUCAACCUUAUACUUUCCCACCGCUUUCUUCAGCAAAGAUACAUGAAAAACAGGAUGAAUCUUUGAAGUAGGUGGUAAUUUCAGACGAUAUGCCACCUUUCAUACUUUCUCCUCUACUUCAAAUGGUCCAUAGUAUUUAGCACUUAAUUUAUGAUUAAUUCUGCUCAUGACCGAUUGUUGUCUAUUCUGUUUCAACUUCAAAAACACAAGAUCUCCCACCGAAAAAUGUCUUUCCCUUCGAUGCUUAUUAGCUUGAAUCAUCAUUCUGUCUUGGGCACGUAAUAAAUGAUACUUCAACUGUCUCAGUGCUUCAUCCCUCUCUAGAAGAUCCUUUUGAACAGUUGCUACCCUCACCUCUCCUUGAACUACUUGUACAAUCUUAGGAAGAGUUCUCCCGUACACCGCUUCAAAAGGAGUGAUUUUUGUGGAGCUGUGAUAAGUGGUAUUAAACCACAACUCUGCCCACGACAUCCAAGUCACCCACGUCUUAGGUUGAUCAGUAAUAAAACAUUUGAGGUAAGUCUUCAGACAUCGAUUAGUUACCUCAGUCUUUCCAUCCGAUUGCGGAUGAUACGCCAUGCUCAUUUUCAGCUUUGUUCCUUGCAUCUUAAAGAGCUCUCUCCAAAACAAGCUCAUGAAUAUCGGAUCCCUAUCACUCACCACCGAAUUCGGUAUUCCAUGUAGCCUUACUAUUUCUUUUACAAAAAUCUCAGCCAUGGACUUUGUCGUAUAAGGAUGUUUAAGGGGAACAAAAUGACAGUAUUUUGUUAAACGAUCCACCACUACCAAAACUGCUUCAAAGCCUUUAGACCGGGGCAAUCCAGUAAUGAAAUCCAUACUGAUAUCCUCCCAAACUCUUUCCGGAAUCUGUAAAGGCUGUAAUAAACCAUUAGGGGCUGCUGUUAUAUAUUUCUGCCUCUGACAUGUAUCACAGGCUUGGACAAAUUGUUGGACAUCUUUCUUCAUUCCUUUCCAGUACACAUUAGCUGCAAUCCUUCUAUAGGUUCGAUAAAAUCCUGAGUGACCCCCUUGCGGAGUAGAGUGAGCUUCUUCCAAUAACCUAUUGACCCACAUAGAUUUCUCCGGUAUCACUAAGCGAUCUUGAUAAUAUAAAACGCCUUGUUUAUAUUCAUAUCCCACAUAAACCUGUCCAGCCUUUAUUUCUUCUAUUAUCUUCUUCAAUUUAUCAUCAAUAUGUACCGCUGCAUUAAGCUCUUGCCAAUCUAACCAAACUGGAAAAGAGACCAUGCUCUUCAUUUCUCCUUCAUCUCUACUUCGGGAUAGAGCAUUUGCCCCCUGAUUUUCUUUGCCUGGCUUAUAAACAAUCUCAAAAUUAUAGCCUAAUAGUCUAGCCAACCAGUUUUGUUGUCCACCUGUUGUUAUCCUUUGCUGCAUCAAUUGCUUAAGACUCUUCUGAUAUGAAAAAACAGUAAAUUUGCGACCCAAAAGAUCAGGCCUCCAGUGUUGGAUAGCCAAUGCAACUGCCAUCAACUCUCUUUCGUAGGCUGACUUCGUCAAAUUGCGUGAACUCAAGGCCUUGCUAUAGUACGUCACAGGUUUUUUUCCUUGCAUUAGGAUUGCUCCAAUCCCUGUCCCAGAGGCAUCACAUCCCAGGACGAACUCUUCUUCAAAGUUUGGGAGCCUCAACACUGGUGCUGAUGUGACCCUUUGUUUGAGCUCAUCAAAUGCUUCUUGAGCUCGUUCAUUCCACCCAAAUCCAUCCUUUCUAGUCAGCUCUGUUAGUGGUUUAGCUAUCUUACCAUAAUCUUUUAUGAACUUACGAUAGUAGCCUGUGAGACCCAAAAAUCCACGAACUCCCUUUACGUUCUUGGGAAUUGGCCACUCUAACACACUAUUAACCUUCGUUGGGUCCACCGCAACUCCAUGUAUGGAAAUAAUAUGUCCCAGAUACUCCACCUUCUCAUGGCCAAACAAACAUUUUUCCUUGUUCGCAAAUAAUUGGUGAUCUCUCAACACUUCUAACACCUUUUCAAGCAACUGCAUAUGCUCUUCCCAACUGUUGUUGUACACGAGUAUAUCAUCAAAAAACACCAAUACCUUCGUCUCAACAGCGUCCGAAAAACUUCAUUCAUGAGAGCUUGGAAUGUCGACGGGGCGUUCAUAAGUACAAAGGGCAUCACGAGGUACUCAUAGUGACCCUCAUGGGUUCGGAAUGUUGUCUUUGGAAUGUCUUCCUCCCUCAUUCUGACUUGAUGAUAUCCUGAACGAAGGUCCAAUUUAGAGAAAUAUUUGGCUCCAUGCAACUCAUCCAAUAACUCCUCAAUAAAUGGUAUUGGAAAUUUAUCUGGAAUAGUGACCUUGUUCAAAGCUCUAUAAUCAACACACAUGCGCCAUUUGUUAUUUUUCUUCUUCACCAAAAUGACUGGGCUCGAGUAAGCACUCUGGCUAUGCCUGAUAUGACCCACUUCCAUCAACUCUUGCACUUGUCUCUCAAUUUUUUCUUCUGAUGAUACGCAUAUCUGUAAGGCCUCACGUUAAUAGGUUCUUGUCCUGGUUUGAGAUGAAUUUUGUGUUCCUUUACACGUCUAGGAGGUAGCCCCUUAGGUUCUUCAAACACAUCUUUGAAAUACUGCAACAAGUGAUUUAAGACGCUUCGUUGCUCUGGACCCAACUCUGCAACUUCCAUCUUCUCUUUUUCCUCCAACACCCCACACACUGAAAUUAACAAUGAAUCCCCAUGAGGGACCCCUCUUAGCAGUUUCUCUCCUUGCUGUGUCUGGAUCUUCAUUUGCUGUUUUUUCCAAUCCAUAGUGGUCUCUCCCUACGUCAUUAACCACGACAUCCCCAAUAUCAUGUCCAUGUCCUCCAAAUCGAAGAGAAAAGCAUCAAUUUCAAACUCACCAUCAUCAAUCCUUACUUUGAUGCCUCGACAAAUCCCUUGAGUCUUGGAUUUGUGCCCAUCUCCCAUCAGAAUCUUCAUUUGCUUGGUUCUUUCCCACUGCCAACCCAAAGCUUCCACAAGUUUUCGUGAAAUAAAAUUGUGCGGGCUCCGCUGUCGACUAAGAACAACAUCGAAAUCUCCCCAAUCAGACCCCGUAACUUCAUAGUCCUCGGUUGAUCAUUUCGGUCUCUCGUGAGAGAAUAGAGGUUUAACGUUGUACAUUCUACCACCACCUCAUCUUCGUCAUCCCUCUCCUCAUUUUCCUCUUCAUCCCCUUCGCAUUCAACUUGGAUUUCCUCAUUCACCAUGACCACCCUUAGCUGCUUAAUAGGACAUUGAUGAAGGGGACCAUACACCCCACCGCAUUUGAAACACAAGCCCUUUUGUUUUCGGUCGAGAAGUUCUUGAUAAGAAAGAUGAUUUGCUCCUCUAUCACGUGACCCCCCUUUAUUCUUUGCACCCCAAUCCUUCUGAACACUUGGGCCAGGCCCAUUUCCUCCCCAACUUCCCCCAUUUUGUUUUGGACCAGUUUUUCCCACCACAGUUGAAAUGGGUCGGUGCCCUACUUGAUACCUAUCCCUUCAAGACUCUCCCCUUCCCUGCCAUAUUUUAUUUCUCCCUGAUAUCUCCACAUCGAUGGCGCGAGCUACAUUCAUCAUGCGCCCCCUGGACAAAGGAUGUGCCACGUGCAAGCUGCGUAUUCUCGCACGUAUUUCGUACUUCAGCCCUUGUGUAAAAUAAGAAAAGUACUGUUCAUCGGGCAUUCAUGGCACCUGAGCAAUGAGACACUCAAAACUUGUAAUAUAGUCUUCGAUACUUCCUAAUUUUUUUAUGGCAGCCAAUUGAUCAUAAAUACUCCCUUCUCCCCGGCCUCCAUAUCCCUCCAGCAUCUCUCGUUUCAAAUCUUCCCAAGUUAACUCAUCAUAUUCAUUUAAUAAAGCAUGGAAAAAAUGAAUUGUGCUCCCUUCCAUACACAAUUGUGCGAGAUUCACCCGGACUGCCUCUCGUGUCUCUUGUACGUUAAAAUAAACUUCAUCUCUUGCUAUCCACCCCGUUGGGUCUUCUCCAUAGAACGGUGGUAAUUCUAUCUUCUUCAUCGAUUGCCGAAAUUCGGCUAAAUCGUCCCCCUCGAGUUGUCUCAUACUUUUCGUUCUCUGCGUAUUCACCGAUCCUGACCCCAGCUCUUUGUUCUCCCCCUCAUUCAUAUUAGUAAACUUCGAAAUUAAGUGAAGGAGCUUUGAUUGAUUCUCAGCGGCUUCUCGGCAUAAGGUUACGAUCUGUUCUGCUGAAUCCUUACGCAGCUUCUCCAAGUUGGUUUGACUUUGCAACGAUUGCGUCACAAGCUCCUCGACCACCGCUUUGAGUUUAGCGACCUCACCCACAACAAGAUCUGCCUCAUUCUCCUCAACCGCUAGCUCUGCUUGGACAUUAUUCUUUCUUGGUGGCAUGAUCUCCGGUCGGGAAAUAUUGAUCUGGCAGGUCAGACCAAUUUGUUAGAAACCAGAAUUUGGAAAUAAAGGGAAUCAAAUAUGAACAAUGAAGUGAUGCUAAUUCAAUAUUAUUAUCAACCAAAAAACUCAGAAAGUUCUAGACCCUCUGCCUAGAGCAAGCUCCUGAGAAGAAUCGUAAUCUUCUUCUCCCAAUCCCACCGAAAAACCAAAAACGUGUCCCCCCUCACAGCCUACACCUCAUAAUAUAUAACAAACCAUUUUCUCUCUCUUCUAACUAACACAAUUCCCUCACAAAGCCAUGUCACCCUUUUCUCUCCUCUUAUAAACUCUNCCCCACCUAUUUUUAUUAUCUCUUGGGUCCG
This 5235-nucleotide long non-coding RNA is filed under the name Vigna radiata. Its description in RNAcentral is "long non-coding RNA (VRAD_LNC008953)". The record is from RNAcentral. Lineage: Eukaryota; Viridiplantae; Streptophyta; Magnoliopsida; Fabales; Fabaceae.